RNAcentral lists this ribosomal RNA (253 nucleotides) under uncultured bacterium. RNAcentral's name for it is "partial 16S ribosomal RNA". It matches the Rfam family "Bacterial small subunit ribosomal RNA", at positions 524 to 776 of the family's 1533-position model. The record is from RNAcentral.
UACAUAGGGGGCAAGCGUUGUCCGGAUUUAUUGGGCGUAAAGAGCUCGUAGGCGGUCUGUCGCGUCGGCUGUGAAAACCCGGGGCUCAACCCCGGGCCUGCAGUCGAUACGGGCAGACUAGAGUGUGGUAGGGGAGACUGGAAUUCCUGGUGUAGCGGUGGAAUGCGCAGAUAUCAGGAGGAACACCGGUGGCGAAGGCGGGUCUCUGGGCCAUAACUGACGCUGAGGAGCGAAAGCGUGGGGAGCGAACAGG